GAUAUAAUUUUGAAACUUUUAUGCAUAUAGAAUAAAGCAUGAAUUACUCCCUUGGGGAGGAGAUUGUUACAAAUGAAGAUUCCUAGGCCAGACUGGCUACAGCUGGGCCUCAGAGCAAACGUGUGGAAUGAUGGAUAUAAGGCUGAAUUUCUUAACUGUCGAAAAAGUAAGAAAGAACUUGAAAUUAGUAUGAGAAAUAAAACAGAUGACGGAAACUUUUUCGUGAAACAGUGCAACUACAAUAUGCGAAAAAGUAGACAGGUAAAGCACACACACUUGGGAAGUGGAAACAUCUCGAAGUACCGUAGAUGUGAGAAAUAGAAAGAUGACACUGCAGAGCCAUAGUCAGCUGAGCAUGGACGUUGAGAUACUUGUCCGGUAAUUAUCAGGCCUUGAAGUAUAUGAAGUCCAUUUUUGCACCCCCACCCUCUUCUCUCCCUCUCAGUUUUCCACCCUGCAUUUUCACAGUCUGGGCGGCCCAGGAAAUGCCCUGUUGUCUCGGCUUUCCCUUGGCUCCACAAUUCACAUUUGCCUGCUAUCCCCACUUGAUCAGAUACACCAGCCGCUGGGAGAGGCUCAGGGGGUUUCUCUUCCGGGCAACUUCUUUUUCACAGUGAGUGCCCUGACAUCCAGAUGUCUCAACCGAAAGGACUGAGUUCAUAGUGAGAACCUCAGGUAUUCCACAGAGCCCAGAGGAGGAGGUAGCCAGGGGCAGGUGGAUGGUCUGUUCAGAUGUGCUCGUAGCAGCAGCCGAAGUGAGGAGAGUGUAAUUCACAAGAACGUCACUUCCCGUUUUUGGAGCUCAUCAGUGGGCAGGCACUGUGCAUUUUACUCAUUGUCUGAUUUAAUACACAGAACGAGCCUUUCGGCUAAGUUUUACGGAUAAACUGAGGAGGACAGUAUGUAAAUUAACGGGCACAGCUAUGUUCCAAUAAAACUUUGCAAAACUGGCAAAGAGCUGGACAUUGUGGCCCCUCUAGGUCCACCCACAGAGGCUCUGGCUUAUCCAGCAGCUGCCUUGAAGGGCUGGACAGCUAAGCCCUAAAUGCAGGGAGGUUAACACCUAGUGGGACAGGCAAAAAGGCCAAUGAGAGAGCAGAAGCAGGAAGGUGCUGGCAGAUAAAUUGCUCAUAUUUCCCUCCUCCCCCAAUGGAUGUUUCCGACAAGUGGUUUCAUACAGCCCUGAGCAACCAGCUGUGUUUCUUGGAAAUCUGUGGCCAGUUCAUAAAGGUACCACUAUUAAUUUGCUCUUUCUCCUACCCUGCCUUCCUUCCCUUUUGUCCUCACUCCUGCUGUCCUGGGAUCCCAUGGUGUCCCCAGUAAAGCUUUAGCACACAAUUUGCCUUAGCCCCUGCUUUCUAAGGAACCCAGGCUAAGACAUCUGCCUUCCUGAUAAAGGAUUUCAGCUGCUCCAGCCACAGGCCUCCUUUGGGUCCAUCUGAUGGUCAGCAGCACCUUGGCCUUUCAAUUCAUUUCAUUCAACAGAAAUUUACUGAGCACCAUGUGCAAAUUGAUUGAACAAAGAUAAAAAGACAGUGUCCAAUAAAUAUGGGAGUGCUACCAGGCCUUAAUAAAGAAGAACGCAGAAAGGACAAAGGCAUUGCCAGCACCAAAUAAACUAGUCAUAGAUAUAAGUGGAGGACGUGGAAAGAGAUAGAGAUCUCAUUGCAGUUAAGUUCGCAUGUUCUGCAGAUUCUGAUUCCGGAUGUCU
Molecule: long non-coding RNA, 1711 nt
Organism: Equus caballus (horse)
Lineage: Eukaryota; Metazoa; Chordata; Mammalia; Perissodactyla; Equidae
Source: Ensembl